RNAcentral lists this ribosomal RNA (490 nucleotides) under uncultured bacterium. RNAcentral's name for it is "partial 16S ribosomal RNA". It matches the Rfam family "Bacterial small subunit ribosomal RNA", at positions 30 to 507 of the family's 1533-position model. The record is from RNAcentral.
AUUGAACGCUGGCGGCAGGCCUAACACAUGCAAGUCGAACGGUAACAGGGAUCAGCUUGCUGAUUCGCUGACGAGUGGCGGACGGGUGAGUAAUGUCUGGGAAACUGCCUGAUGGAGGGGGAUAACUACUGGAAACGGUAGCUAAUACCGCAUAACGUCGCAAGACCAAAGAGGGGGACCUUCGGGACUCUUGCCAUCGGAUGUGCCCAGAUGGGAUUAGCUAGUAGGUGGGGUAACGGCUCACCUAGGCGACGAUCCCUAGCUGGUCUGAGAGGAUGACCAGCCACACUGGAACUGAGACACGGUCCAGACUCCUACGGGAGGCAGCAGUGGGGAAUAUUGCACAAUGGGCGCAAGCCUGAUGCAGCCAUGCCGCGUGUAUGAAGAAGGCCUUCGGGUUGUAAAGUACUUUCAGCGGGGAGGAAGGGAGUAAAGUUAAUACCUUUGCUCAUUGACGUUACCCGCAGAAGAAGCACCGGCUAACUCCGUG